This 152-nucleotide small RNA is filed under the name uncultured Paenibacillus sp. Its description in RNAcentral is "ydaO/yuaA leader". It matches the Rfam family "c-di-AMP riboswitch aptamer (ydaO/yuaA leader)", at positions 11 to 120 of the family's 134-position model. Rfam says of the family: This family represents a conserved RNA structure found upstream of the ydaO and yuaA genes in Bacillus subtilis and related genes in other bacteria. The ydaO/yuaA element is thought to act as a genetic "off" switch for the ydaO and yuaA genes in its native state. The record is from RNAcentral. Lineage: Bacteria; Bacillati; Bacillota; Bacilli; Caryophanales; Paenibacillaceae.
CUCGGCCGAAUUUCGUAAUGAAAACGGGGGAACCGUAUCUUUUGGGGUGAAUUUCGCAGAACUUCGCGCAGCCGGCUAGGAAGCGGCGGAAGUGUCAGCGAAUAGGGCAACUGUGCAUGUCCGAAUCCGUCAGCUAACCUCGUAGGCCUGUG